AGACAUCUUAGUUCAGGGCUCCCCUGCAGCAGCUCAGGGCUCACGCUGCCCUGUGUUCACCAGGUUUGCCUCUUCCGGAACGUUUGAGGGGUUUUCUCCAAAGAACGUGAAUUGCUUCUUUGGAUGUCAAUUCAUAGUGUAAAUGGGUGUUCAGUUUGAGUUUUUGUUUUCUUUAUUAAUUGCAAUGGAGCCCUUCUGUGGAAGAUUGAACAGAAAUCUAACCGGGCUUUUGCUUGUGGGAAAGUCACCAUCAAGGGGAAGCGGCACUGGUACGAAGCCCUGCCCCAGGCAGUGUUUGUGGCCCUGAGCGAUGACACGGCCUGGAUCAUCAGGACCAGUGGGGACCUGUACUUGCAGACAGGUCUGAGCGUGGAUCGCCCUUGUGCCAGAGCCGUAAAGGUGGACUGUCCCUAUCCGCUGUCCCAGAUCACAGCCCGGAACAAUGUGGUGUGGGCGCUGACAGAGCAGAGGGCCCUCCUGUACCGGGAGGGCGUGAGCAGCUUCUGUCCGGAAGGCGAGCAGUGGAAGUGUGACAUCGUCAGCGAAAGGCAAGCUUUAGAACCCGUCUGC
RNAcentral lists this small RNA (570 nucleotides) under Pongo abelii (Sumatran orangutan). RNAcentral's name for it is "processed transcript". The record is from RNAcentral. Lineage: Eukaryota; Metazoa; Chordata; Mammalia; Primates; Hominidae.